Molecule: ribosomal RNA, 798 nt
Filed under: Triticum aestivum (bread wheat)
Lineage: Eukaryota; Viridiplantae; Streptophyta; Magnoliopsida; Poales; Poaceae
Description: partial small subunit ribosomal RNA
Source: RNAcentral
AUGGCCGCCGGCGUCUGGAACGUCCUGGACUGGUUCCCCGGAGGCGAGGCCAUCCUCAGGGCCGAGAGCGCCUUCCUCUCCGCCAGCACCGCCGCGGGCGCCGGCGAGGACCGCAUCAGCGCCCUCCACGACCACCCCCUCAGGGACAUCGUGUCCCGGCUCCCCGCCAGGGACGCCGCCCGCACCGCCGCGCUCGCCUCCCGCUGGCGCCACCUCUGGCGCUCCACGCCGCUCGUCUUCCACGACCCCCACCUCCUCCCGUCCCGACAGCCCGAGCUCGCCGCCGCCGUCGCCCGCGUCCUCGCCGCCCACCCGGGCCCCUUCGCCACCGUCAGCAUCAGAUGCUGCGACUUCCGGCGCCAAAGCCUCGAGCUCGCCGAGUGCCCGCGUCUCCUCGCCGCCAAGGCCGUCCGGGACCUCGUCCUGGUCAACAACAUGGCCGCCGACCUCGACCACCUCCCCGACGCGCCCGCCGGGGUCCUCAGCUGCGCCUCGCUCCGCCGCCUCUUCCUGGGAUACUUUCGGUUCCCUGACACCGGCGCCGGCAGAGAGGAGGGAUUGUUCCCGCACCUCCGGGAGCUCAGCUUGCUCGGCGUCCACAUGCCCGACUGCGACAACCUCGACCACCUGCUCGCCCGCAGCCCCGUUCUGGACACCCUCGUCCUCGUCCUCAGCCGUAUCUUCCACCACAUUCACCUCUGCAGCCAGAGCCUCAAAUCAGCGCUCCUCUGGAGUUACUACGCGCAGGAGAUCGCCGUCAUGGACUGCCCGCUCCUGGUGCGAUGUCUCAUUCGGUGA